UACAGAGGGUGCGAGCGUUGUCCGGAAUCACUGGGCGUAAAGGGCGCGUAGGUGGCGCUGCAAGUCGGUGAUGAAAGCUCGUCGCUUAACGACGAGUCGGCCAUCGAAACUGCGGGGCUGGAGCACUGUAGGGGCAGAUGGAAUUCCGGGUGUAGCGGUGGAAUGCGUAGAGAUCCGGAAGAACACCAGUGGCGAAGGCGGUCUGCUGGGCAGUUGCUGACACUGAGGCGCGACAGCGUGGGGAGCAAACAGG
Molecule: ribosomal RNA, 253 nt
Filed under: uncultured bacterium
Lineage: Bacteria
Description: partial 16S ribosomal RNA
Rfam family: Bacterial small subunit ribosomal RNA
Source: RNAcentral